Molecule: long non-coding RNA, 1520 nt
Filed under: Callithrix jacchus (white-tufted-ear marmoset)
Lineage: Eukaryota; Metazoa; Chordata; Mammalia; Primates; Cebidae
Description: lncRNA (ENSCJAG00000077665.1)
Source: RNAcentral
UCUUCUUUUUGUUUUAUUUCAAAACUUCUUUUGAGAGGAAAAAUGAGCACUAAAACUAGAACACCAGUGCAUCAAAUUUUGUGUGUAUUUGUGAGAAUGUAAUUUAUUCCCAACUGUGUAUGUGUGUAUCAUUCUAUUCUAUGGAGUCGGUUUUUAGCUCAUCCUUUUGUUAUCUGUGGGAAGCCAGGAAACAAAAACAAAAAUAAGCAGAUACUGUUGAGGAGAGGACCCACGUGGACCAAGAAGUCCCACAUGACGGCAGCGCUGAGUGGGCAGAGCCUGAGGCUUGGAAGCUGCCUCAGCAGGAAGGGGCAGCCUUGCUCAACCCCACCCUCCAUCAGUGCAGGGUCAGGCACAAGCCUCAGGCCUGAGCCUUUGUUGUCCUUCCUCUGGCAAUGCCUAAGGCCCAGCUCCGUUCCCUUUGGUCUAAAGAAUAGGCCAGGGUAGGAGGAGGGGGAUGCUGACCUCACACAGGAUGCUAGAAAAUAAUGUUAUAAAUUUGGGGUAAUUUUCCCUGUUCACCUCACCCUAGCAAAAGGCCUUCUUUUGUCAAAAUUAAAACCAUUUACAAAAGUGCAGGCUUGUUGUUGUUUUGAAGUAUUUGAAUCGCUAGGUGUUUUCCCUGGGACUCAGUUUCAAAAUCAGACACCUGCCUGAAGAAGGAAAAACAGAAUCAGUGAUGUCAUCAUCCUUCCUCAGCAGCACUUCAGGGCUCCAGAUGCCUGGCCCUCUUUCAGUUCUUCAAACUAGAGGAGCUUCCCUCCACCUCAGGGCUUUACACAAGCUGCUUCCUCUGCCCGGAAUGCUGACUCAUCCUUCCCGUCUCGGUGUGAGCCUCAUCACUUCCUCAGGGAGACCUUGCCCAGCCUCUCUCACGAAGUCAAAGCAGGCUGUGGGACCCAUCACACUUCUCCUUCAGGCAUUCCUCAGGGUCGCGGUCUGACACAUUUGUGUGGUUACUGGAUCAACACUCUCUCACCACUACAGUGAAAACCUUGUGAAGGCAGGGAGCAAAACUAUUUUUGGUUUAUUCCAACCCUCAGAGCCUAGAGUAGCUCCUGAAAUGCAACAAGGUAUGUCCUCAAUUAAUACCUUUGAAAUAAGGAAGGGGCUGGGUAAGGUGGCUCACACCUGUCAUCCCAGCACUUCAGAGGCCAUGGUGGGAGGAUUAUUUGAGGCCAGGAAUUUGAGAGCAGCCUGGGCAACAUAGCCAAACUCUAUCUCUACAAAGAAUUUAAUUUUCAUGCAGUUUUUUGAGACAGGGUCUGGCUCUGUCGCCCAGGCUGGAAUGCAGUGGCACAAUCACAGCUCUCUGUAGCCUCAACCUCCCAGGAUCAAGCAAGCCUCCCACCUCAGUCUCCCAAGUAGCUAGAACUAUGCAUGUACACCACCAUGCCCAGCUAAUUUUUUUUAUAUUUUGUAGGAACAGGGUCUCCCUAUAUUGCCCAGGCUGGUCUUGAACUCCUGGACUUAAGUGAUCCUCCUGCCUUAGCCUCUCAAAGUGCUGGGAUUACAGAUGU